GCACAAGCGGUGGAUGAUGUGGUUUAAUUCGAUGCAACGACGAAAACCUUACCCACCUUUGACAUGGCAGGAAUCCUGAAGAGAUUGGGAGUGCUCGAAAGAGAACCUGUACACAGGUGCUGCAUGGCUGUCGUCAGCUCGUGUCGUGAGAUGUUGGGUUAAGUCCCGCAACGAGCGCAACCCUUGCCAUUAGUUGCUACGAAAGGGCACUCUAAUGGGACUGCCGGUGACAAACCGGAGGAAGGUGGGGAUGACGUCAAGUCCUCAUGGCCCUUAUAGGUGGGGCUACACACGUCAUACAAUGGCCGGUACAGAGGGUAGCCAACCCGCGAAGGGGAGCCAAUCCCACAAAGCCGGUCGUAGUCCGGAUCGCAGUCUGCAACUCGACUGCGUGAAGUCGGAAUCGCUAGUAAUCGCGGAUCAGCAUGUCGCGGUGAAUACGUUCCCGGGUCUU
This 454-nucleotide ribosomal RNA is filed under the name uncultured Allobrachymonas sp. RNAcentral's name for it is "bacterial SSU rRNA". It matches the Rfam family "Bacterial small subunit ribosomal RNA", at positions 923 to 1382 of the family's 1533-position model. Lineage: Bacteria; Pseudomonadati; Pseudomonadota; Betaproteobacteria; Burkholderiales; Comamonadaceae. The record is from RNAcentral.